GCAGCAAGAUGAGUGUCUGAUCUGAUAUUUACCAACCUUCAUCAGUACGAUUGUUCAGAAAGUUUAGGUAGCUGCUGGUGGCUUGGCUUUCUUUGUUCUCACAGAAGAGGGCAAAACAUUUUCAAAGAUUUUCUUUUUUCCAGCUGGUUAAGACCUAUGAGGAGAGCAUCAUUUCCUCCCUUGUUUUAGUUUGUUCAAGCAAAGGCAAAAAUAUACAAGCUCCUUCCUGCGAAUUUGUCAGGAGAGAUCCGAGCUUUUCCCUCUUCUGAGGCAGUAAAUAGCACCAUCUUGUGUACUGUGUCCUGACACAGCCUGGCCGUCAAAUGGGCUCCUACAGGAAGAGAGGAUUGUGUGACUAGGGAGCUGCUAUCACACAGGUUUGUUAAGCUCUAAGCCAGGGGUCAGGGAACUUUUUUACCUUUUACCCCCCCCCAAAAAAAAAUUUAUAUACGCCGACAUUACUGCCCUGAUUUGAAAGGAAGGAAACCAUACAUUAUUUGAAUUAAAAAUAUUAUUGAAACUACACAGGCUGUGUACCGAACUAGCAGGAU
RNAcentral lists this long non-coding RNA (551 nucleotides) under Pogona vitticeps (central bearded dragon). RNAcentral describes it as "lncRNA (ENSPVIG00000024458.1)". The record is from RNAcentral. Lineage: Eukaryota; Metazoa; Chordata; Lepidosauria; Squamata; Agamidae.